AGAGUUUGAUCCUGGCUCAGAACGAACGCUGGCGGCAGGCUUAACACAUGCAAGUCGAACGCGUGUAGCAAUACACGAGUGGCGCACGGGUGAGUAACGCGUGGAUAUCUGCCUUUUGGUUCGGAAUAACCCCGGGAAACUGGGGCUAAUACCGGAUGGUUCCUUCGGGAUAAAGAUUUAUCGCCAAAAGAUGAGUCCGCGUACGAUUAGCUAGUUGGUGAGGUAAUGGCUCACCAAGGCGACGAUCGUUAGCUGGUCUGAGAGGACGAUCAGCCACACUGGGACUGAGACACGGCCCAAACUCCUACGGGAGGCAGCAGUGGGGAAUAUUGGACAAUGGGCGCAAGCCUGAUCCAGCCAUGCCGCGUGAGUGAUGAAGGCCCUAGGGUUGUAAAGCUCUUUUGUGCGGGAAGAUAAUGACGGUACCGCAAGAAUAAGCCCCGGCUAACUUCGUGCCAGCAGCCGCGGUAAUAC
Molecule: ribosomal RNA, 474 nt
Filed under: uncultured bacterium
Lineage: Bacteria
Description: bacterial SSU rRNA
Rfam family: Bacterial small subunit ribosomal RNA
Source: RNAcentral